GGGGAAUCUUCCGCAAUGGACGAAAGUCUGACGGAGCAACGCCGCGUGAGUGAAGAAGGUUUUCGGAUCGUAAAGCUCUUUCGUCAGGGACGAACGUAUUUCUUGUAAAUAAUGAGAGAUAGUGACGGUACCUGAAUAAGAAGCCACGGCUAACUACGUGCCAGCAGCCGCGGUAAUACGUAGGUGGCAAGCGUUGUCCGGAAUUAUUGGGCGUAAAGCGCGCGCAGGCGGGAUAUCAAGUCUGUCUUAAAAGUGCGAGGCUCAACCUCGUGAGGGGACAGAAACUGGUAUUCUUGAGUGUCGGAGAGGAAAGUGGAAUUCCAAGUGUAGCGGUGAAAUGCGUAGAGAUUUGGAAGAACACCAGUGGCGAAGGCGACUUUCUGGACGAUGUCUGACGCUGAGGCGCGAAAGCUAGGGGAGCGAACGG
This 427-nucleotide ribosomal RNA is filed under the name uncultured bacterium. Its description in RNAcentral is "bacterial SSU rRNA". It matches the Rfam family "Bacterial small subunit ribosomal RNA", at positions 356 to 775 of the family's 1533-position model. The record is from RNAcentral.